CAGCCGCCGCGGUAAUACGAAGGGUGCAAGCGUUAAUCGGAAUUACUGGGCGUAAAGCGUGCGUAGGCGGUUUGUUAAGUCUGCUGUGAAAUCCCCGGGCUCAACCUGGGAAUGGCAGUGGAUACUGGCAAGCUAGAGUGUGUCAGAGGAUGGUGGAAUUCCCGGUGUAGCGGUGAAAUGCGUAGAGAUCGGGAGGAACAUCAGUGGCGAAGGCGGCCAUCUGGGACAACACUGACGCUGAGGCACGAAAGCGUGGGGAGCAAACAGGAUUAGAUACCCGCGUAGUCCCUGUCUCUUAUAA
RNAcentral lists this ribosomal RNA (301 nucleotides) under uncultured bacterium. RNAcentral describes it as "partial 16S ribosomal RNA". It matches the Rfam family "Bacterial small subunit ribosomal RNA", at positions 509 to 809 of the family's 1533-position model. The record is from RNAcentral.